UGUAAACAAAUACCCCAGUCCUUCUUCUUCUAUUGUAUUUCUGACAGAGUAGCUGCUCUGGUGGUCGGUACCUGGAUUAUUAAAACACACCUUCUGCUACCUCCGCCAACAUUUUAACUUUAAACUUUUCAUUAAUAUUGCAUUUUAUUAGUGUAGCACUCAGCAACAAAUGAAUUUAAAAUGCAGAACACACAAUGCACAACAAAAGUACAAAAGACAUUAUGCAAGAACAGUAACAUAAAUAUGGGAAUGAAGUGAAAUAAAAUCAGAAGAUAUAAAAGAAUUUAGGAGGAUUAAAAAACAUGAGGUGAAGUAAAAACCCAUAAAAACACCAUCAAUGCAUAAUACACAGCGUAUAAAGCCAAACUCAUGUAUAUUGAUGAGUCAGAUUAAGCUACACGGCGCUUCUCCUUCAAAUAGAAUCGCCCUGAAGAAGCUGGUGAUGAAACUCACAGCGACAGAGGAAUUUGAGGAAUCUGGAGUCCACUAUCCGCUGUGGGUCACAGUUUACAUCAUCAGUCAUGUGUGAGUGUCGUCAGGAGGUCUGUUUCAUAUGUGUGUGUGUGUGUGUGCAGGAACUUAUGCUGCACAUAUGCAUGUGUUGGGUGGUGUGGAGAGGAUAUCGCAUGUUGACAGUGUGUGUAAGAGUUCGGUUCAGUGAUGCAUGUGUGUGUGUUGGCAGGGUGCUAAUCCAAAGUGCAAUGAUGUGUGGCUUUGUCAUGCCAGAUGAAAUGACAGCAUCCGGUGUUUGAUGGACGUGGACGUCCAGCAGGAUCGAAGCCUCGCCGGGGAGCUGAAGCAUUUCUUGGUGCAUUACCGUCACCUACAGGUCAGUGGAAUAUCAUGAAACCAUUGGUGGGAAAAAGGAGGAUGGAAAUUCAAAUUCAUUCAUUCAAUGAAUUUGAAAAUGUUUUUUUAUAGUGUGGUGUUGCUACUUUUAAAUAAGUAAAAGAUCUCAGUACUGAACAGGCGGCUUUAGUGAGGCUACAAAGUCUUGAAGUCUUUUUGAAACGGAGAGCUGUGAUGAAAGAUCACGAGAAGAUGAAAAUCUCUAUUUUACAAAUAUUUGUCUUUGAAAGCAAUAAAACAAUAAAAAAAAAAGCAUCAAAUAUAAAUUAUAAAAUAAAAUUACUUCAAAGUAAGAUCAUAAAAUAGGUCUUGAGCUGUUUUUUUAAAACUAUCAUCAGAAGUUGCUUGUCUUAUUCGUGGUGGGAACAUGUUGGUGAAUAAAAACAGAAAACGAUAACAAUAACAGCAGCGAUAGACGUGGAAGGACACUGACAGGACUGUGAAGGACGGCGAAGGCUCGGCCUGAAACCCAGGGUUUCCUGCCAGAUGAGAAAACACAAAAAACUCAGAGGAAGAAGCCGAGUUAGUGACAUGCAUUGAUGGUACAUGAAUGCAUACAGAUACGGUGGAAAGUCCUCCACACUCAAGGUAUUAUACUUGCUGCACAGUCUUAUGGGCUGAGCUUUACUGGGAGAGGGGGGGCUAUUCCUGUGAUACUUACCAUGACUGAGAGCAGUGCAUUAUGGAUGAAGGUUCGGGGCGCCUCGCCCAAGCCUGCAUGGAGGCGUUUCCACAGGAGGGACGUGUGUUUUCCCCAUUCAUGCACCUCGAUAGUUCCCCCAAAAAGCAUCAAGAUUUAUUAAUAAAACGCUUUUCACAGAGAAUACAGAGAAUACACAAUCUGUAAUGAAAUUACACAGUAAAAAAAACAGAAAAAAUGAAAAUAAAAAUACAAAAUAAAAACAUGGAAACAUAAAAUGUCGACUUCCUCCAGGUUACUCAAACACCUGUCUAAAAAAGUGCAGAAUCAGCAGAGCAUUCAGAAGCUUAGGUACCACCAAUUACCACGGGUCUUAAAGCUUAUAACUUAAAAUCAGAGCAUCUGAUAACUAAAAUCGUUUACCUUGUUACAACAUAUAAAUAAAACCACCAGGAUCUGAAAGUGUAGCAUAAAUUGUGGCUUAAAACUGCAUAAAAAUGUCAAUUAAUGGCAGAACACCAACACAUGCGCACUAGUCACUGGUGAAAUAACACUGUUAAUGAGAACUUUUACUUUUGAUACUUUAAGUACAUUCUGUUGUAAUUGUGUAAUUAUGGAUACACUGACUUUUAAUGUAUUUUUGUAGUGUGGUAUCACUACUUCAAUGUUACAAACGUUUGUCUUCUUCUCUUGUUGUUGCGUAUUUUCUCUCUUCUCUCUGAGUCUUUGCCAAGUUUCCAUCAGAUCCCAGCAGGUCUGUGAACACGGACAAAAAAAACCAAAACAACAAAACCCAAAAAAAGCAUUCAUCAGCCGCAGCAGCAGGGAGUCGAGGUCGGCUGUGAAACGUCAACUCUGACCUGCCGAGAAGCGAGAAGAGGAGGAUCGAAAGGAGUUCGCACAACGAAAACACUUUGAAAUGGAAACCUUUCCUUUUUUUUUUUUUUUUUUUUUUUUUGGACAUUGCAAGGUCGUCGUGUGUUUGUGUGUUUCAGACGCUGCUCGAUGUUCAACACGUUGGCAUUGAGCUCGCAGUAGGAUGCAACACUUACUGAAAACAUGUUUAGAAUUUAAAAAAUGUGACUGACAUGAAAAACAAUAUAAACAUAUUUUACAAUUACAUUAUAUUUAUACUUAUUUAUAAUAUUUAUACUGUACUGUACCAUCACAUACCAUAACAUACUCAUACUUUAACUAUUUUUGACUUAUUUCAUGCUUUUGUACCUAUAGUUAACAUUAAAGUAUGAUGUAAGCAUGA
Long non-coding RNA from Thunnus maccoyii (southern bluefin tuna), 2747 nucleotides. RefSeq lists it as uncharacterized. The transcript is spliced from 3 exons. The record is from RefSeq and is a predicted model, not a curated record. Lineage: Eukaryota; Metazoa; Chordata; Actinopteri; Scombriformes; Scombridae.